This 205-nucleotide ribosomal RNA is filed under the name uncultured bacterium. Its description in RNAcentral is "partial 16S ribosomal RNA". It matches the Rfam family "Bacterial small subunit ribosomal RNA", at positions 568 to 774 of the family's 1533-position model. The record is from RNAcentral.
UGCGUAGGCGGGUCUUUAAGCCAGGGGUGAAAUCCUGGAGCUCAACUCCAGAACUGCCUUUGAUACUGAAGAUCUUGAGUUCGGGAGAGGUGAGUGGAACUGCGAGUGUAGAGGUGAAAUUCGUAGAUAUUCGCAAGAACACCAGUGGCGAAGGCGGCUCACUGGCCCGAUACUGACGCUGAGGCAGAAAGCUGGGGAGCAAACA